CCCAGGGUCGACGGGAGGAGGCGAUGCGUACGAGUAUAAUUUUUGCAGCGAAUCGUUUGUUCCUUUUGCGUUGCAGAUAAAUGAUGGAGCGCGGGAUGAAUAACAAAAAUUACAGGGGCUUUUUUAUAAAAAUGCCACGGUGGGUUUUCCGACGGAAGCAAUAGCCUCUUUAUUAUUAUUAGGUAGGUAUAGGUAUAUAGAUUAGGUAUAGAUUAAUUUGAGACUGAGAUCGUUUUUUUAUUGAAUCUGUACUAUUAAUAAAAGAUCAAACAAAAACUUCUCUAAGUACACACAACUAUUACCCCCACAAAAA
RNAcentral lists this long non-coding RNA (313 nucleotides) under Hordeum vulgare. RNAcentral's name for it is "long non-coding RNA (HVUL_LNC016468)". The record is from RNAcentral. Lineage: Eukaryota; Viridiplantae; Streptophyta; Magnoliopsida; Poales; Poaceae.